CUGCUCACCAGGACAUGGUACUUCCCAUGUGGUCAUGACCUGCCUGCCCUUCAUGAACAGGAGAAACUGGUUCGGGGGUACCCUAAGUGGGCAUGGGAGAGCACAGUUUUCAGUACAGU
This 119-nucleotide small nucleolar RNA is filed under the name Sorex araneus (European shrew). Its description in RNAcentral is "Small Cajal body specific RNA 23 (ENSSARG00000020263.1)". Lineage: Eukaryota; Metazoa; Chordata; Mammalia; Eulipotyphla; Soricidae. The record is from RNAcentral.